This is a non-coding RNA of Peromyscus eremicus (cactus mouse), 424 nucleotides long. The record is from the annotation of a RefSeq genome assembly. Lineage: Eukaryota; Metazoa; Chordata; Mammalia; Rodentia; Cricetidae.
UUCUGCCUUGGUUAUUCAGGACUCUUCAAACCAAGUUAUCAGAAUGAGGUGUGCUUCUCAGCUCCUGGGGCUGCUUGUGUUCUGGAUCCCUGGAGCCAGUGGGGAUAUUGUGAUGACCCAGACUGCACUCUCCAAUCCUGUUCCUCUUGGAGAGUCAGCUUCCAUCUCCUGCAGGUCUAGUAAGAGUCUCCUACACAGCAAUGGCAAAACUUACUUGAAUUGGUACCUGCAGAGACCAGGCCAGUCUCCUCAGCUCCUGAUCUAUUGGAUGUCUACUCUUGCCUCAGGAGUCCCAAGCAGGUUCAGUGGCAGUGGGUCAGGAACAGAUUUCACUCUAAAAAUCAGUAGAGUAGAGGCUGAGGAUGUGGGUGUUUAUUACUGUCAGCAGUGGCUAGAAAAUCCUCCCACAGUGAUACAUCCCUGA